GCAAGUCGAACGGGGUCCAACUCGUGGCAACACGAGGGAAGACCUAGUGGCGAACGGGUGAGUAACACGUGAGCAACCUGCCCCGAAGACUGGGAUAAGCCUGGGAAACCGGGUCUAAUACCGGAUACCCCCAUCGGAUCGCAUGGUCUGGUGAGGAAAUGAAUUUCGCUUUGGGAGGGGCUCGCGGGCUAUCAGCUUGUUGGUGGGGUAACGGCCUACCAAGGCGACGACGGCUAGCUGGUCUGAGAGGACGAUCAGCCACACUGGGACUGAGACACGGCCCAGACUCCUACGGGAGGCAGCAGUGGGGAAUCUUGCACAAUGGGCGAAAGCCUGAUGCAGCAACGCCGCGUGGGGGACGAAUGCCUUCGGGUUGUAAACCCCUUUCAGCAGGAACGAAACUGACGGUACCUGCAGAAGAAGCCCCGGCCAACUACGUGCCAGCAGCCGCGGUAAUACGUAGGGGGCGAGCGUUGUCCGGAUUCAUUGGGCGUAAAGAGCUCGUAGGCGGCUUGGUAAGUCAAAUGUGAAACCUCCAGGCUCAACUUGGAGAUGCCACUUGAUACUGCCAUGGCUAGAGUCCGGUAGGGGAUCACGGAAUUCCUGGUGUAGCGGUGAAAUGCGCAGAUA
RNAcentral lists this ribosomal RNA (630 nucleotides) under uncultured Actinomycetes bacterium. RNAcentral describes it as "bacterial SSU rRNA". It matches the Rfam family "Bacterial small subunit ribosomal RNA", at positions 57 to 696 of the family's 1533-position model. The record is from RNAcentral. Lineage: Bacteria; Bacillati; Actinomycetota; Actinomycetes.